UCUAGCUGUCUAACGUGACACCUGUCAUCGUAAAUUCGUGAUCAUAUUUUCCUCAAUUUUCGCCACUCCUCCUCCUACAAACGAUCUGCUGACAUUUUUUAAUCAUGUCGGAAAGCGUCCUUGCUCCCCUACAGCUGGAACUGCUAAUUCAGAGAGAACCGAGAGAGAAGUCAGAUAUCCGCUGGCAGUUUGUUGAGGUAAACAUCCUGUCCCAAAUCGAUGCCCCUCUCCUAAGUUUGAUCGAGUUUUUGACGUGGACCAUCACAGCAAAGACAUUUCUCAAGUUGCACAGUAAAUCUUUGCAAGUGCUCCCAUGCAUCAACCAUGGACCACAUUCCAUUUAAGAAGUUGACCGAAAAUUUCCAAGUUGCAGCCUAAAAUAUUUGGUUGUAUGGAAAUUCUUCUCCAUCGUCGACAGCCCUCAAGUUACAAGAUUGUUCGUUGGAAACAUUCUUCAAAGAUAGUCCAAGUUGGAAACAUCUUCAGUCUGUGGCUCACUUAUGCCUGCAAGAAAACAUUGAUUGAAAAAAUGUUGUAUUUGGUUAUAGGUUUUAAUUUGCUCUGUCUUCUAGAGUUAAACAUUUUACAAGUAACUCUAGGAGUAUGUUGGAGCAGUAGAGUAAAGCGACAUUACUUAUAAAAGCUGUCCACUCAACUACAAAACAGAGAUUGGAGUCUUACGCUUUCCAUAAAGUCAGAUGGUCAUUGAGUCACAACAAAAUUCUUUAGACUUCUGUCAAGGAUUUGAUUUUGAAUAAGAAGGUAAAUUUACAGAAGUUAGACGGCAAAGAGCACAAGGCACUGCUUUUGGGGUUGAAUGGACAUCAAAGGGAAUCCUUAGUACCAUAUAUAAUGUGCUCGGGUCCCAGGUUAUACCUUCUUGUCGUAUUUACCCCAGGCCAAUUUUAAGAUGGUCUUUUUCUGCUUCCUUAAACGGUUAGGACUGUGGAGUAAAUUCCCUGCUUGUAUUUUACACCCUACUCACAUUCCAAGUCAGGCUCACAUGAGGUUAGAUGCAUAGACUUUUCUCUUGUCUUGUAAUUUGUGCAUUUUUAUCUUUAUCUCUCAUGUGGUUCCAUGCAUAAUUAUGUUUGCUUUGGUUUUCAGUCAUCAGCUUUCCAUUCCAGUCUUUCAUCUUGCAAAGGUUAUUUUGAGACAUCUCUCUCUGAUUAAGUUGUCAACACCUAGUGAUCUUCCUUUCUUCAUCUGUCUAACUUCCCAUCUUACCGAAUUGUGGCAGUGUCUUCAUUUUUCAGUGACUCAUUUACAAGUUUUCAAGUUUUUUGACAAUCACAAUUUAUUAGAUAGGAUUAAAAUUUUCUGUUUAAAAAACAUACCUUACAGGCUAGGUGGGAAUAUAUAAGUAUAUAUCCUUAGGCAAGGUUUGCAAGCGUAUUAUAGUGUCUUUGAGGUCUUGGUUCGAUUCUCGGCCAUUCCGUUGAGGAGUGAGAGAUGUGUAUUUCUGGUGAUAGAAGUUCACUCUCGACGUGGUUCGGAAGUCACGUAAAGCCGUUGGUCCCUUUGCUGAAUAACCACUAGUUCCGUGCAACGUAAAAGCACCAUACAAACAAAACAAACAAACUGUAUAAUUGUAAAGUGCCUUAAGUUAUAAAUUACCUUAUCUGUUUUUAGUGUGAGGAGCAAUUUGCAGUAUUUUGGGAUAGUUGAAUCUUUACUUUGUUGGCUCCUGAGGACAUUUUAGUAAACAUUGAAAAUAUCAAUGGCGAUUUAUGAGUAAUUAUGGUUUUUAAAAGACUUGUUGUUAACUUUCAUGAAUGAGUAAAUGCCUUUUAGAAGUAUUUUGUUUGAGGUCUUAAGGUUAUUUCUUAUGUGGCAGCAAUUGUAUCAUAUUCUGUAUGUCAAAAUGUUUACUCUGGUUUGGACUUGCUUUGGUUUACAUAGAAACCUAUUAACGUUUAACCUUAUUCGUGUGCUGUGUGGCAUCAUAGACACUGUAAUCUACUGUGGUUUAUAUAGAAACCUUUUAACUUAGCCUUAUUUGUGUGGUGUGUGACAUCAUAGUAUAGGGCCCUCUCAAGGUUACUGAUAAUCAUCCUGGUAAACAUUAUUAAUAAGGCUUUGCCUUCUCUCAUUUGUUUGGGCACUGAAUGACCUCAUAGGUGCCACUGGUUGGGCUUUGGCCUAAAUUUUGUAUUCUGUUCCAUCCUGGAAUUGGUAAAUAAGAUAUUUCCUGUCCCUCAUUAUUCUUCUGAUUGUGGAAUUCAAAAUUCACAUUCUCAGGACAAGUAAUUCCAUUUUUAUUAUACAUAGUUUAUUGCUAUUACUCUUUCUUGAUAAGUAUUUACAACCAUUGUCAUCUUGUAUAGUACAAUAAUACCCGUUAAGAUCAUACAUUUUGUCCGUUCAAGAACUGGUAUCCUUUUCUGUAACAGUGGGAUGGAACUCCUUGAUAAACCUCUCUGGAAGUGAUCCAGCUUUUAAGGGAUUGUGGCCUUUUGUCAAUUUCAGAGAUCCCUUCAGAUCCUGGUUUGAGCAACUUUUCUCUUUCCAGUUCUUCCUACAUUUCCAAGUUCAGUGUCCUUUUCUAUGACUGUCAGCAUCUUCCUCUGACUCGGUGAUAUCCUUUCUUCCUUUCCCUGGCCAAGAACUUAACCCAGACAGUACCCAUUCCUUAUUUUGUUGGGUCUUUGUGACUGGGAAUAUGUGUGAUGUGUAUGACCCAGUUCAACUUGCUUCUUUUUUUAUUGGUUCAGUACCUCUUCCUAGUGAAUUGGUCAUCUGUUUGUGCAAGUUCAACAAUUUUUGUUAUCUAGUCAUGAAAUUUUCGAGUUUCAUGUCUUGUAUAAAAGCUUAAGAUGUUCGUCAAGAACAGACCCAUCAGGCCAUCCUUCUGAAGAGUUACAAAUGUCAACUCUGGUCUGGUUAAACCGUUGGUGGAUUUGUUAAUACUUUUUUGGUUAUUUUGUUUAAUCAGUGUUCACUUCCCGAUAUUGUUUAUUUUAUUUUUUGAGGUUUAAAAGUCUUGCUAUUUUAGCAAUUACAGCUCUUACUGCUGCUUAUCCUGGUCAGUUAACAAAUUUUUUGUGAUUGUUUUUAUUUAGUUUUUUUUUUUUUUUACUGACUAUUCUCUGGCGUUGGUUGCGCUACCUGUAGAGAUGUUUCAUUUACCUUGGAUUCCACAGUUCCAAGAGCUUCUGCAUCAUUUCAUAGUCCUAGUAACACUCCUGUAAGAGGUUUUCGUGCAUCGUACCUUUCAGAAUUCAUUCACUUUUUUUUGGCAGGGUUUGCACUAUAUAAAGCAUUUUACCUUUGGAGCCUGCUCUUUCUUUUUGCUUAUAUAUCCUAUGAGUUUCCCUUGGUCUCUUUUGGCAUGUUACACCUGCUUGGCAUUAGAGUAACUAAGUUCCCUCCUGCUUAGUUUAACCAGGUUUUGUGAGUAACCAAUGCAAUUUUUUUAUGCACAAAUCCAUUACUUGCGGACAAAGUGGCCUUAUUCUGAUCUUAACCACAAGUGCUGUUGUGGAAAAUGGCAAUGACAGAUUAAAAUAACAAUUUACUGUUGUGUUAUGGUGUUCUCCAUUGAAGUAAUAUGACCCCAUCUUCACAUUGGUCACAUUCGUGUAAGAAUAACCUUUAUGACGUAAUCCCAGGAUGCAAGUGAAGAAUAACUCGGACAUAUCUUGAGUGAUUGUAAAUCUUUCAGCCAACAACUUACGUUAUGUAUUGGAAACGAAUAAUUUGAAGAAAAUUGUCAGAAUCAUUUAUAUUUUUUAGUUUGACAAUAAAUAGCUGUUUCUUUUUCAUCUACAGUGGAUUAUGGUGCCUGAGACUUGACACUACACACGAUUUAGGCCGAGUUAAGGUGUUGUGUUAGUACUAUAGGAAAAGUGCUUUCAUGUUUUUCUUUAUGGAUAAAAUGAAAAUUGUAUGAAGACUUACAAUAUUACGAUUACAUAUAUGUAUGUGGUAAAACAAUUCACAUUGUAAACAUUUGUUGCUUGAAAGGUUGUGGGGCUUAAGAAUUAAGGGUCAUUAGUUAUGAAUAUGAUAGUUUCAUAGUUAUUUUAAAUAAAUGUCUGUUUUAUUAAUUGGUAAUAAAUACAUUUUGCUCUCUCUCUCUCUCUCUCUCUCUCUCUCUCUCUCUCUCUCUCUCUCUCUCUCUCUCUCUCUCUCUCUCAGGGACCAGGAUUUCCUAACUCCUUAAUGUGUGUCUUAAGUUGAAUACGAGGUAACAAAAGGAGUUUAGGUUUGACACGAACAAUGGCAAAUGUCAUAUCUUCAUGCAUGGUUAUAGCAACAGCAAUGCAAUGUCCUCAGGUCUUUGUUAUUCAUGGUUAUAGCAACAGCAACUCUGUCUCUUUAGAUCUAUGCCCUUAAUGGUUAUACGAACAGCAUCAUCCUCCACCAAACUACAUCUCUCCAUAUCUUCCUUCACCAUCUAAUUCUCUGUCGCCCUCUCGAUCUUCCUCUAAGGCCCCGUCCACACGGCCGAGCUUUGCUCGACGAACUUUGUUUGAUGUGACGUCAGAAGCGGAGGAACCGCGGCAAGGUUCUGACUUUUCUCGCUGUUUCUCCGCUUCUGACGUCACAUCAGACAAAGUUCGUCGACCAAAGCUCGACCGUGUGAACACACCUUAACAGGUUCCUCCCAAGCCCUCUUCACUCUCCUCGUCACCCAUCCUCAUCCCAUGGCCCGUACCAUCUCAAUCGUGACACUCUUAUCACCUCUCUACGAAGCCUGCCUGCCCUUCUUAUUUCAUCGUUUUCUAUUCUCAUGCAGUGAUAUACCCAUAAUCCACCUCAGCGUUCUCAUCUCUGUUCUCUCAAGCUUUACUUCCUCUUUUCUUCUUUGAGCCCAUGUUUCUGCUCCAUACAUUAACACUGGUCUUACCACUUGUGUUAUAUGUCUUGACUUUUAGCUUGAGUGGCAUUUUCUUAACACAUACCACUCCAGCUACCUCUCUCCACUUACCCCAUGCAGCUUUUAUCCUACUGUCAACUUCAGCCUCGCAUCCCCCUCUUGGCUUUUCACAUUCACUUUUAAGCCACUCCUCUUUAAAGACUUCCCCAACCCUUCUCUGUAGGUCGUCCUCAUUAUCAGCAGUAAUCACCAGAUCAUUGGCGUACCAGCACAAACAAAAAUGGGCUUAAUGCUGACCCCUGGUGUAGUCCAACACUAACUUCAAAGAUUUCUGUUUUCCCCAACUGCAGUCAUCACUUGUGCACGAUCUUUUAUAUAUCAGCUCGACCAGCCUAACCAACUUUUCUGGGACUUUCCUUUUCCUUAAACACCAAAACAUCACUUCUCUUGGGAUUCUAAGGCCCCGUCCACACGACCGAGCUUUGCUCGACUAACUUUGUUCGAUGUGACGUUAGAAGCGGAGAAACCGCGGCAAAGUUCUGACUUUUCUCGCUGUUUCUCCGCUUUUGACGUCACAUCGGACAAAGUUCGUCGACCAAAGCUCGACCGUGUGGACGGGGCCUUAGAUAUGCUUUCUCUACAUCUAUGAUUGUACGAUAGAGCUCCUGGUUUCCCUGUAGCCUCUUUUCAUGUAGCUAUCUUAUGAAGAUGGCAUCUACUGUCCCUCUUCCUCUCAUAUGAAUCCACACUGCUGUUUCCCGAUCUUUACACACUUAAUCUAUCAUCCAGUCUUCUGUCUUAAAACUUUCAAGCCAUACUCUGUUAGUUUGAUUCCUCUGUAGUUACCACAAUCCAUGACAUCGCCAUCUCCUGUAUACCAUUAUUACUCUCCUUCCAGUCCAAUGGCAUUUCUUCCAAGCGCCUCAGCGGCGUGGUUGGUAUGGUAUUAGCGUCCUACCUCGGUGGUCGCGGGUUCGAUCUCGGCCAUUCUAUUGAGGAGUGAGAGAUGUGUAUUUGUGGUGGUAGAAGAUCACUGUCGACGUGGUUCGGAAGUCACGCAAAGCCGUUGGUCCCGUUGCUGAAUAACCACUGGUUCCAAACAAACAAAACAAAUUUCUUCCUCUUCACAUAUAGCUUUUAAUAAUCUGGUGAUUUACCAUUCUUCAUUUUCCUUAAUAAUCUCUCAUGUAUUCUGUAUCUAUAACGCUGGUUCCUCCAUCCUCUGUGCUCGCCCCCCCCCCCCCCCUCAUCUCCUCUCCCUCAUUUUAGUAUUUAACAACUUCAAAAUCUCUCUCUCUCUCUCUCAGGCCUAAAUUGGUAUGCUCAAGUCAGUGAGUCACGGCUAGAUCCAAAAGAGGUUACAAACGACCGCCAUUAGAAAGUUCAGUACUUAUGGAACAAGUCAAUAGAAAGGUUCAUAUCGAGGUAAAAUAUCAGGGGAGAGGUCCAUACCUACGGAAAAAAGGCCAAUAGUAAUCCUUGCCUACCAAAAAGGCCAAUAGAAGGUUUAGAGCUACGACUAAAAGCCAUUAGAAAUGGCCUCGGGAUAAUUAGGAGGCCAAUAGAAAGUUCUGUUAUAAUACACAUCUCUCCUCACUCCUCAAUGGAAUGGCCGAGAAUCGAACCCUCUGUGGUCACGGGUUCGAUUCUUGGCCAUUCCAUUGAGGAGUGAGAGAUGUGUAUUUCUGGUGAUAGAAGUUCACUCUCGACGUGGUUCGGAAGUCGCGUAAAGCCGAUGGUCCCGUUGCUGAAUAACCACUGGUUCCAUGCAACGUAAAAACACCAUAAAAAAAAUUAACUUAAUAUAUUCCAUUUACUACGAAGGUUGCGUAGUUGAAAGCUUGAAUAUGUGAAAAUGUGUGUAGCGAAACUAUCUGUUCAUUAAUCAUUUUAAUUGAAUAAAGGUAAUGUAAAACGUCUACUAUUCAUUAAUAGUUGUAACUGAGUAAAGACAUGGUAAAAU
This is a long non-coding RNA of Macrobrachium nipponense, 6785 nucleotides long. RefSeq lists it as uncharacterized. The transcript has 4 exons. Lineage: Eukaryota; Metazoa; Arthropoda; Malacostraca; Decapoda; Palaemonidae. The record is from RefSeq and is a predicted model, not a curated record.